UAUCUGUGUCCUACCCAUGUGCACAUGCACACAUAAUCUCUAUCUCUUUUGGACAUGCACGGAAAGUGAAGAAGCAGCCACAUGCUUGCCACCGUGAGUUAGAUUGACUCGACAUGAAGGAAAGAGAAGGACUCUGGUUGUUGAUUGCAAUUUUGUUAACUGGCCAAGUGACUGUUGCUGGCGGGCCUGUUUCUUCCCUGGCAGUUCUGAAGGGCCCGGAACUAGCUUACCUCAACAAAAGAGUUAAGUUUUCCUGUGAGGUCCUACGUUCACUUCCAUCAGCCACCUACCAGUUUAUGAAGGUGAAAGAUAUCCCAAUUACCACAAAGAAACUUUUAUCUGCAGGUCAGCCACCCAUAUUAUACUUAAAGGUCACUAAUACCUCAGCCGGAGCAUACUACUGCAAAGUGACAGUGCUGGGAAAAUCAAGUACCAGCAACAUUCUAAACCUGAAAGUAGUGAUUCCAGUCUCAGGUGCCAGCCUCCUGUCUGUGCCCAGUCCUCCUACAGUGUUUGAAGGAUCCUCACUGACUCUUUACUGUGAAGUUCAGAAGGGCUCUCACCUCUCCUACACAUGGUAUCACAACAGACUGGAAGUGAAAGCUUCCUCACACAUGCAUAACCUUUCUGGCAACUUACUUAAAGUGGACAAGCUGACAAAGUGGCAUGCUGGAAGUUACUCCUGCUCUGCAUGGAAUGAUAUAGGAGUUAGCCCACGCUUCUCCAGUAGCAAUGAAAUACAUGUCACAGUCAAAGUCAACAUUUCUGCACCAAAGCUGUCAUUCACACUCUACAGAGAGAAUGCCAGUUACUAUGCCAACUUGACUUGUGAGUCAGCUCAGGGCAGUGUUCCAGUUACAUUCCUGUUAUUCCUGGAAGGGCAGGAGAUUGAUCGGCAGGUCGCCAACUCCCUGACUGUAUGGUUCACUCUGCCAAUGAUGGUAGGAAUGGACAUGGUCUCAGCACAGUGCAGAGCAGAGACAAGUCACCAACAACUGACCAGCAACCUUCUUAAUCUAGAAAUGGCUCCUGUAGGGGGUCCUGUGUAUCUGCACACUGAAUACUUAUACAAUACUAACUGGCAAGUAGUAGCUAUGCGACUGCAAUGUGACAUCAACAGAGGUACCUUUCCCUCCAUCUCUUGGCUCCAUAACAACUCAUUCCUGCAUCAGAAGGACUGCUCUAAAAUCUCCAAUGACAAGUGCCAUGUCCUCUUCCUGACUGAUAUUACACCAGUGAAUUUUGGGUAUUACCAGUGCCUUGUGAAGGACAGUUUCAACAUCAAUGCAUCUUGGGUGCAGAGUAACAUUGUCCUUGUGGAGUCAAUAGAUUUACCUACAAUUACAACUGAGGUCAUAGCUGUUGUGUUCUGCUGCACCUUGCUGAUUGUCAUGAUGGGAAGCCUGUUCUGCAUAUUUUGGAUGCUUAACUAUCCAGUCUUGCAAUCAGAAGGUGUUACCAUACCUGAACAGCACAGCACAGCCACAUCUAUUGAAGCCUUACAAUGUCACCUUCAUCAAAAUGGGAGCUGUGUUGACCUGGACAAGUCCAACCGCCCACAUAACUAACAUCACAUAUACAGCACAGUACAGUUGGGGAAAGAGAUCUUUUAAAAGCAUAGAUACAUGUAUUGAAGUGAAAGAACUUUGCUGUGGCUUAAAGCUACCUUCAACCUAUGGGAUAUAUACUUUUAGAGUAAGGGCCCACCUUCAAGGAACCACAUCUGAAUGGGUUAAAAGUACAGAGACCAAAGUUACUAAAUUCACAGAUCCUCCAGUUGUGUCUAUGGUUUUGAGAUAUGGAGUUAUGGAGCUGAAUAUUACAGAGCCCGAGUAUGACCUCAGUUGUUUCUUAGUAAACAAUGUCUCCUACAACAUCACCUACUGGAGACAGCACCUGGAGAAUGAGCAGACAUGGCAGAGAACAGUUCAGCAAAGAAAAGUACACAGGUUGCCUGUGUCUGGGCUGCCAUCAGAAGGACUGUGUGUAAAAGUACACACUGUGUAUGCAGCCUUCAAUAAUGCUGGAGUACAGUUCGAAACAGCAGGUCCUCCCAGUAAACCAGUGUGUGCUCUAAAUUCUCCACAUGGCGAACCUAAGUAUAUUCAUUCAUACACAGCCCUGGUAGGGUGCUUAACAUCUCUAGCUGUACUUUCUGUGCUGAUACUGGGCUGGUGUGUCUACAAAGGCCAAAACUUCCUUUACCCAAAUGCAGCACUACCACAACAACUCAUACAGUGUCCCCCAGAGAGAUGCUUUGACAUGCCCCAAAUGUUGCUCCAUGCAGAAGAGCCAUACGAGCACAUCAGUGUAUGGGAGCCACAGUGUGAGAUGCACAACAGUGAGGAAAUGAGUGCUGUGAGAGUCUCUGAUGGAGUCAGUAAUAUCUGUGUGUAUGAAUCUCUGAGCAUUGUCUGUAUGAGUGAGGAAACUGUGUUUCACAGGAUGGCAGAACCUACAAACAAUGGUAUGCUUGAGCAACGCUAUUACAAUGUGCUCUCCUAAAGCAAUAUCUAAGACAAAUUUCAGAACCCCCUUAUCCCUUUCUCCAUGAAUUUGUCUAAAAAAGUAAGCAUGCCUACAUAAUCGUUUUGUGUUAUUUAGCAAAAGCUAAUUAAAUUCAAUGAAAUAAAGAAGCUGUUAU
Molecule: RNA transcript, 2644 nt
Organism: Alosa sapidissima (American shad)
Lineage: Eukaryota; Metazoa; Chordata; Actinopteri; Clupeiformes; Clupeidae
Gene name: Fc receptor-like protein 5
Exons: 14
Source: RefSeq, a predicted model, not a curated record